AGAACGAACGCUGGCGGCGUGCUUAACACAUGCAAGUCGAACGCGAAAGUUUUCUUCGGAAAGCGAGUAGAGUGGCGCACGGGUGAGUAACGCGUAAAUAAUCUACCCCUGCAUUUGGGAUAACCCACCGAAAGGUGAGCUAAUACCGGAUACGUUCUUUAGAUUGCGAGAUUUAGAGAAGAAAGGUGGCCUCUGAUAUAAGCUACUGUGCGGGGAGGAGUUUGCGUACCAUUAGCUAGUUGGUAGGGUAAUGGCCUACCAAGGCGACGAUGGUUAGCGGGUCUGAGAGGAUGAUCCGCCACACUGGAACUGGAACACGGACCAGACUCCUACGGGAGGCAGCAGUGAGGAAUAUUGCGCAGUGGGGGCAACCCUGACGCAGCGACGCCGCGUGGAUGAUGAAGGCCUUCGGGUCGUAAAAUCCUGUCAGAUGGAAAGAAGUGCUAUAUGAAUAAUACUUGUAUAGUUUGACGGUACCAUCAAAGGAAGCACCGGCUAACUCCGUGCCAGCAGCCGCGGUAAUACGGAGGGUGCAAGCGUUGUUCGGAAUUACUGGGCGUAAAGCGCGCGUAGGUGGUUUGUUAUGUCAGAUGUGAAAGUCCACGGCUCAACCGUGGAAGUGCAUUUGAAACUGGCAAACUUGAGUACUGGAGGGGGUAGUGGAAUUCCCGGUGUAGAGGUGAAAUUCGUAGAUAUCGGGAGGAAUACCGGUGGCGAAGGCGACUACCUGGCCAGAUACUGACACUGAGGUGCGAAAGCGUGGGGAGCAAACAGGAUUAGAUACCCUGGUAGUCCACGCCGUAAACGAUGUCAACUAGGUGUUGGGAUGGUUAAUCG
RNAcentral lists this ribosomal RNA (837 nucleotides) under uncultured bacterium. RNAcentral's name for it is "bacterial SSU rRNA". It matches the Rfam family "Bacterial small subunit ribosomal RNA", at positions 26 to 837 of the family's 1533-position model. The record is from RNAcentral.